RNAcentral lists this ribosomal RNA (258 nucleotides) under Triticum aestivum (bread wheat). Its description in RNAcentral is "partial small subunit ribosomal RNA". The record is from RNAcentral. Lineage: Eukaryota; Viridiplantae; Streptophyta; Magnoliopsida; Poales; Poaceae.
AUGGUCAUGCUUGCAGUACUGAUAAGGCAUGCUUCAAAAAUGGAGGGAGGACCUGAGCUGCCGCCUUGGUUCCUGUCCGCACCAGCCGCCACAGUACAUGACACUAUUGUGUUGUCUGCAGAGGUUCUCAUUCUGAAAGAAACUGCAACUAUGCAAGAGCUUAUUGACGGAGAUUAUGAAAUUUGCAGUUCAAGUUCUGGACAUCAGAUUGAUACUUUACCAAAGGUGCACCAAUCGGCCCUCCGUCUCCUAGGGUGA